Molecule: ribosomal RNA, 228 nt
Filed under: uncultured eukaryote
Lineage: Eukaryota
Description: partial 18S ribosomal RNA
Rfam family: Eukaryotic small subunit ribosomal RNA
Source: RNAcentral
UUNNNGGUCCUUCUCCGGAUACCGUANUAUUCUAUAGCUAUACGUGCGUAAAUCCCGACUUCUGGAAGGGACGUAUUUAUUAUAUUUAAGGNCGACCCGGCUCUGCCGGUCUCGCGGUGAAUCAUGAUAACUUCCCGAAUCGCAUGGCCUUGCGCCNGCGAUGGUUCAUUCNAAUUUCUGCCCUAUCAACUUUCCAUGGUAGGAUAGAGGCCUANCAUGGGGGGUAAC